AGCAUACAGACAUCAAGCAAAAGAAAUAAACACCCCCAAAUUGCAGGAAGAAACAGCUGGCAGAAUUGUGGAAAGUUUUGUAAUUCUGGCAAAGACAUAAUGAUGGCCCACAUUCUACUAUCAGAAACCUGGGAGUGCUGCCUUAUAUGGCAAAAGAACUUUACAGGAUGCGAUUCUAUCAAGGAUCUUGAGAAGAAAUCGUCUGGUGUUAUCUAUCCAUGUGGGCCCUAAAUGUAAUGACAAGAAUCCUUAAAAUAAGACUGAGAGGGGGAAGGAGGAAGUAAGAUGUGAGACUGGAUACCAGAGGACUCAGCUAUGGAAUGCAGAUAGCCUCAGAGCUAGAAAAGAAAAGCCCCUGCCAAUACCUUGCCUGAAGGCUGAUAAAGCAGACCCUGCAUUUUCAUCCUCCAGAAGUGUAAGAGAAUACAUUUAUGUUGUUAAAAGC
Mesocricetus auratus (golden hamster) is the source of this 445-nucleotide long non-coding RNA. RefSeq lists it as uncharacterized. The record is from RefSeq and is a predicted model, not a curated record. Lineage: Eukaryota; Metazoa; Chordata; Mammalia; Rodentia; Cricetidae. The transcript has 2 exons.